RNAcentral lists this ribosomal RNA (669 nucleotides) under alpha proteobacterium IMCC15076. RNAcentral's name for it is "bacterial SSU rRNA". It matches the Rfam family "Bacterial small subunit ribosomal RNA", at positions 29 to 743 of the family's 1533-position model. Lineage: Bacteria; Pseudomonadati; Pseudomonadota; Alphaproteobacteria. The record is from RNAcentral.
ACGUACGCUGGCGGCACGCCUAACACAUGCAAGUCGAACGAAGUAGCAAUACUUAGUGGCAGACGGGUGAGUAACAUGUAGGUAUCUGCCCUUUGGCCUGGAAUAACACGAGGAAACUUGUGCUAAUACCGGAUAAGUCUUUACGGAGAAAGCUUUAUGCACCAUUGGAUGAGCCUGCACUUGAUUAGUUUGUUGGUGGGGUAAUGGCCUACCAAGACUGUGAUCAAUAGCUGAUUUGAGAGGAUGAUCAGCCACAUUGGGACUGAGACACGGCCCAAACUCCUACGGGAGGCAGCAGUGGGGAAUCUUGCACAAUGGAGGAAACUCUGAUGCAGCGAUGCCGCGUGAGUGAAGAAGGCCCUUGGGUUGUAAAGCUCUUUCGUCGGGGAAGAAAAUGACUGUACCCGAAUAAGAAGGUCCGGCUAACUUCGUGCCAGCAGCCGCGGUAAUACGAAGGGACCUAGCGUAGUUCGGAAUUACUGGGCUUAAAGAGUUCGUAGGUGGUUGAAAAAGUUAGUGGUGAAAUCCCAGAGCUUAACUCUGGAACUGCCAUUAAAACUUUUCAGCUAGAGUAUGAUAGAGGAAAGCAGAAUUUCUAGUGUAGAGGUGAAAUUCGUAGAUAUUAGAAAGAAUACCAAUUGCGAAGGCAGCUCUCUGGAUCAUUACUGA